UCAGAGCUACAGCUGCCGGCCUACGCCACAGCAACGCCAGAUCCUUAACCCCCUGAGUGAGGCCAGGGGCUGAACCCACAUCUUCACGGAUACCAAUCGGGGUGGCUGCCGCUGGGCCACAGUGGGAACUUGCGUGCAACUGUCCUUUCCCUCUGGCUGCCUCCAAGGCCUUCUCUUCCUCUUUGGUCUCAGCAACCUGACUAUGAUUUGCCUGGGAGUAGUUUUCCUUACAGUUAUCCUGCGUACAGUUUGCUAAGGUUUUUUUGACCUGUAAGUUUAUACUUUUCACAAAAUCUGGGUAAUUUUCCCAUUCUUCCAGCAUAUUUGUCCUGCUCAUUCUUGCUCCUCUCCUCCUGGAUUCCUCUGAAUUUGUACUUGAGACUCUGUCCAUGUUUUUGUGGGUUUGUUUUUGUAUUUUGUCUUUUUAUGGCCACACCCGCAGCAUAUGGAGGUUCCCAGGCUAAGGGUUGAAUUGGAGCUGUAGAUGCCGGCCUACACCACAGCCACAGCAACGUGGGAUCCGAGCUGCAUCUGUGACCUACACCACAGCUCAUGGCAACACUGAUUCUUAACCCACUGAGCGAGGCCAGGGAUCAGACCUGCAUCCUCAUGGAUGCUAGUCAGAUUCGUUUCCGUUUCCGCUGAGCCACGAUGGGAAUGCCCAUGUUUUUAUGUUUUUGUGGUUUUUUGUUUUUUUUUAAUCUUACCUAUGGCAUAUGGAAGUUCCCAGGCUAGGGUUCAAAUUGGAGCUGUAAGCUGCCAGCCUACACCACAGGCACAGCAACACCAGAUCAGAGCCACAUCUGUGACCUGCACCACAGCUUGCAGCAAUGCUGAAUCCUCAACCCACUGAACAAGGCCAGGGAUCAAACCUGCAUCCUUACAGAGACUACAUCAGGUUCUUAACCCACUGAGCCACAACAGGAACUCCCUGUCCAGGUUUUUAUUCCCCGUGUUUUUUCUGGUUUUCAGAUUGCAUGGCUCAUUGAUCAUGCCUUCCGACACCUGUUGGAAUCCACCUCCUGGUUCCUAGUCAGAUUCGUUUCUGCUCCACCACGACGGGGACUCCUACUGAAAUUUGUUUCCUGAUUUGGGGUGGGGGAGUGGAGUACAAUACAAUUUUAUAUGAUUACAUCUGACAUGUGAUAUCCUGCUUUUUUGAACACAAGCGCUCUCCCCCCACUGCUCUGAACGUGUGGCUGGGCACACACGUCCUUCCUGUUUCCCCCCGUUUGUCUAUUCCUGCCCCACACAGCAUGGAAUUGAUUAAUACAGCUUUGAGUAACAGUCUAACACGCCACAGACAGGGGCCUCGCGUUCCCUGUGCCCACCCCCACCCGCCCGCUUCCCUCCUCCUCCUUCCUCGAGGCUUGGCCGUUCUUCUCCUGGGAAUUGUUCUACAUUCUGAAUCACCUUGUCCACGUCACUUCUCCCAGACACCUGCUGGGAUGCAAGUGGGCGCACACCCAGCGCAGAGGCCGGUUUGGAGAGGAAUCCCCCCCCCCCCCAGAUUGGAUCUUCCCGCCGCGCACGUGGCCUGUUUCUCCUCCUGUUUAGGUUUUCGAUAAGGUCUUCCAGGAACGUUCACACACGUCUUUCUCAUCAUUCUCCCGUAUUUACCCUAAUUGCUAUUCUCGGAUGCUUCCCGGGCCUCAGGAUCCGCAGACGUCCUUGGCUUCUGUGGUGACAAAUUGGUCCUGCCCACCCAAGUUACGCAAGGUGAGCUGGUGGCCCGAGCUCCGCCUCAGAGUUCAUUUCACGGCCCAGGGGCCAGAAGCUGAGGCCCACGCUGGGAAGAAGACCAGGGCAACCCGUCCACACCCCGGGUCCGCAGGCGCGAGGGUGCAGAGGCAGAGGUGUCACUGACUGUUUCUAAGACGAACGCCUGGGGAUGCGGGGGAGGGCUGGGCAGGGGCUGGCGAGAGACGGGACGAAGAGGACCCCGGGCCCAGUGACGGUCCUCACACAGCCUGGGUCCUGCCCGCCGGCUCUUCAGACGAGAAAGCAAGCUGAGGAGAUGAAGAUGUCAGUAUGUGGUCUGAUCGAUUUUCUAGGAUAAAUACAAAUCAAAAAUCUUUCUCGUAACUUAAGUCUGCUUUUUUCCUCCAGAGCUCCCUCAAGUUUUUAAGGUAAUUGAUGUUGUGUGGGUUUGUUUUGUCUUUUUUUUUAGGGCCGCACCCGUGGCAUAUGGAGGUUCCCAGGCUAGGGGUCGAAUCUGAGCUAUAGCUGCCGGCCUACACCACAGCCACAGCAACACGGGAUCCGAGCCGCGUCUACGACCGACACCACAGCUCACGGCAAUGCCAGAUCCUUAACCCACUGAGCAAGGCCUGGGAUUGAACCCACAACCUCAUGGUUCCUAGUCGGAUUUGUUUCUGCUAUGCCACAGCAGGAGCUCCCCAAUUUUUUUUUUAAGUGAUUCAUGCACAUUUAAAACUUGUGGCAAUACCAAAAAGGCAUAUUAAAAAAAAAAGUUCAGCAUCCCAAAGCCCACAAUUAAGAGAGAAACAGCAUUAACGCUUGGUGAAGAUGAGUUAGACGUCUCUGGUGAAGACUCGAGCAUUUCCUCUAUUGGAUCUCGAAACACGUUUCUGCCACAUUGCGGGGUCACAGCUGAGGGCCAUAAACUGUGUGGGAUGGCGCAGGUCUAUGU
Molecule: long non-coding RNA, 2653 nt
Filed under: Sus scrofa (pig)
Lineage: Eukaryota; Metazoa; Chordata; Mammalia; Artiodactyla; Suidae
Description: lncRNA (ENSSSCG00005018532.1)
Source: RNAcentral